GCAAAUAUUUCAUCAUCAUUUUAUCAUGUCAAUAACAAGGAUGGCAAGUACAUGACUGCCCAGUACAUCAAACUUUGUGAACAAUCUACUUGCUAACUAUGAUAGCAAUCAUAGUGGCAAAUAGGACAAGAUACAACAGACCUCCAAAUCCUAAAAUCCUUUCCCUAUGAGCAAUGUUUCCUUCUGCAUCUUAACCAUUGCUCUCUUUUCUUUCUUAUUCCUUUUAAUUUCUACUUCAAAUUUUGUAAUCUUAGUCUCUAGUUUCUUCUUCUUCAUGGAAAGAUACUUAAUGACUGACUUUUCUUUGCUAUCCCACUCCCCAUCAACCCAUUCAACAUAAUCACAAGUGCUAGCAUCCUAAAUAAAUCAUGAGCAAUUCAAGUCAAUUUAAAACUAAACUUGACACUUCAAAAAGUUGAAACUGAACUUUUUGUAGCUUGACCACAAUAGCAGUAUUACUUUGAAGUUCAGGCACAGUAGACUAACCUCAAACCCACAUCCCAAGAAUCGCCUGCCAAAUUCUCUGCAUCUAUGCACACACGGCGAGCAGGAGUUUCUUGAUGACCACAAAGAUGGAGCUUCUUAGGGCCACAGUACUCAUGAUCGUGCUCAUAUUUUGGAAGCCCAAAAUCAAAUCCCGGCAGCGGACCAUCCUAUGCAAAUGGCAGUUUACAGAACACGCAACAGUGAAGAGAUGUACGAAAAAAACAGGUCAUGAAUUCUGGGCAAAAAUGCUAGGAUGUAAAUAACUUACCUUAUUGCACCGAAGUGAAGCACUGAAGAGACCCUAGCGGUCGGUUCUCCCGGCCCGCCGCCGCCUAGGAAACCCUCGUCCCCUGUUCCACUGGAUCCGCCGCUGCCUCCUAUGCCACUGAAUCCGCCGCCCUACUUCUAGCACCCAGGGUACCACCAAACAUGUGGUCACCACCGCUCUUCUUGCCGCGGCCGCCGUCGCCGGACGCCCACCUCGCUGUCAUUAUUUCACCGUCGAGAUUUGGAGGGGCAAAGGGAAAGAGAGAGCUAGGGAUUUGGAAACAGAAACGAGAAAAGGGGAAAGAUAUAUGUCAACCUGUCAAAAUGGGCCUGUGUAGCCGUG
RNAcentral lists this long non-coding RNA (1096 nucleotides) under Triticum aestivum (bread wheat). RNAcentral describes it as "long non-coding RNA (TAES_LNC023800)". The record is from RNAcentral. Lineage: Eukaryota; Viridiplantae; Streptophyta; Magnoliopsida; Poales; Poaceae.